This 340-nucleotide ribosomal RNA is filed under the name uncultured Leptolinea sp. RNAcentral's name for it is "bacterial SSU rRNA". It matches the Rfam family "Bacterial small subunit ribosomal RNA", at positions 1028 to 1382 of the family's 1533-position model. Lineage: Bacteria; Bacillati; Chloroflexota; Anaerolineae; Anaerolineales; Anaerolineaceae. The record is from RNAcentral.
GCUUGCACAGGUGCUGCAUGGCUGUCGUCAGCUCGUGUCGUGAGAUGUUCGGUUAAGUCCGCUAACGAGCGCAACCCUCGCUGUGUGUUACAAGUGUCACACGGUACUGCCGGUCUUAAGCCGGAGGAAGGUGGGGAUGAUGUCAAGUCAGCAUGGCCUUUAUAUCCUGGGCUACACACACGCUACAGUGGCCAACACAAUAGGUUGCUAAGCCGCGAGGUGGCGCCAAUCCAUAAAGUUGGUCUCAGUUCAGAUUGUAGGCUGCAACCCGCCUGCAUGAAGAUGGAGUUGCUAGUAACCGCAGGUCAGCUAUACUGCGGUGAAUACGUUCCCGGGGCUU